Dermacentor andersoni is the source of this 2343-nucleotide long non-coding RNA. RefSeq lists it as uncharacterized. The record is from RefSeq and is a predicted model, not a curated record. NCBI's taxonomy places the organism in Eukaryota, Metazoa, Arthropoda, Arachnida, Ixodida, Ixodidae.
CUCGCACCACAAUUUGUGUGAAAUUAAUAUCUUAUAUUACGAGAGCUACGGACGAUUACAAGUUACCCUCCUCCACAGUCAUGCAUUUACUCAACUCGUUCGCCGAGUGAUCGGGGCUAAGCAGUAGUACAGUGCACUAGAAAAUACGUCUAGUUCACUGUAUCAGUAGUCUAGGUGGCUCUGCGUCCGGUUCUAUAGGAGCGAGCGCGCGGAGCCUCUCCAAAGUCUCCGCCAGCUGCUUGGCAGUCGACUCCAAGCGAGUGCUAUCGAAGCAGCGUGCGUUGCGAGCAUUCUGUCGCAGUGCCGAAGUGUCUGGUAUUCCGGUAACCACAGGCGAGCUGGUCGUUUCGACGGAACGUUGGAGGCAUAAACUCAUGCUGAUGAAGGAACUUUAGCGAAAACGGACGUAAGCUGCCUGAUCGGUCUCCACGGUGCAGCCAUCCGUUGGCGCAGGGUUUAACCAGCCAAACAAAGCGCUAAUAUUGGUCUAACCAAGUGUGAAACAUUUUAAACAUUUACAAAAACAACGUGUUAACGAUUACACUCCUGCAAAAAAAUUGCACCAGUAGCAACGAUCAGGCCCUGUCCCCUUGCGCUUGCCCUCUUCCGGUGUAAGUGACGGCCGCAAACGCGCAAAUCCUGGCGCCGAUCAGAUAGCGGCAGUCCGAUGCGCUGCAGCCAGUCCGCUUGUCUGCUGCCUGGCAGAGCUUGACAUAUUGCCAGUCGCUACGUUUCCAGUCCACAACGCAACAAAGUCGAAUCAUAGUGCUCGCGAAAAGACUGAGACUGACUCUGACCGCGGAGCCAUAGAAUAGCAGAGCUCUCGUCAAAAUUGAGCACGUCGUAACAAGCAGAAGUGCUUAAGAAGUGCUGUGUGCCGGAAGUGCUUAAGUGUAGCGAGAAAUUGUUCUUGUGCACUCCCUUCCUGUUACUUUCUUUUUAUAGAAACAAAUUACCUAACAUUCCCACUCCUACAAACAUCAUUUGUUCACCAUAAAGGUGGACAAAUUAUCGACGACACGCCCUGGGCAGCCGAUCGGAUACAUGCUCGACAUAGCUCGCCGAUCGGCAGCGAUGUACAUUUUUAAAACCUUGUAUUAAAUUACACGCUUUAUGCGGAGCACUUAGAUGCGUCAAUUAAUGAUCAGAAGGACCUACUCUAACGUACGACUCACUACGCUUGUACAAAAUCGUCAUAGCCGUUUCAGGGUCCCUUUAAAAUAUAACUGGCUGCGGGGAAAACACAAUUAUAUAAUGGCUUUCCUUACAGAGAGCAAGGCACCACUUGCUAUCUCAGAAGUCUGAACCUUUCCAAAUGCCAAACAAGGGCACGCCUCAGGGAGCAAUUGUCUCUCCUUUAAUUGCUGUUUAACAUCGCCAUGCGUAGACUCGCGUAGACUCGCGCGGGCCUUGGACCGUGUCCCGCAGCUGGGUUAUAUCCUCUAAGCGGAUGGCAUCACUCUAUGGGCCACGUGCGGGGCUCUGGCUAGCAAGGAGCAGACCCUACAGGAGGCGACCCUGGCAGUAGAAAACUUUGCUAGAGCCAGUGGUCUCAGCUGCGCCCCCAACAAGUCAGAGGUGAUCCGCACACAUGAAAAACGUCACAAAAGUAACGGAGAAAUGGGUAUCUAACUCGAAAAUCAGAAAAUUAAAGAGGUCACCGGUGCUCAGAUCCUGGGCUUCUGGGUUCAGCGCAACGACAGGGCAAAUUACACUAUUGGUCUCCUAAAAUCGGCAACCAAACAGGUGGCUAUGAUGAUUCAGACGAUCACCUUCCACAAAAAGAGUAUGAAGGAAGGUGACGUACACUGCGUUUAGUGCAGGCGCUCGUAAUAAGUAAGUUGGCAUGCAGCUUUAAAGCAGUAAAGCGGCAAGUUAGGCUAGUUGGUGGAAGUCCAUCUUGUAUAAGGGGGUACUGCGCUAUAAACACACAGGCAACAGAAAUAGAAGUGGACAGGACGCGAAUGGCCUGUCAACUACUUUUGUGUUCUGUCCACUUCUGACCACAACGACCCCCGUGACUCAGAUGAGAGUCACAUCCCUGUACAAAUGAAGUGAAUACAAUCUUUCCCUUUUUUUCAUCAUUACGAUGCUCGGCUUUGUCGUCGUUUCCUGAUUCCUGCAGUGAAGACCCGCCUCACCCGGUCGAGAUUGUACCAACUGGUUGGCAGCAACGAGAUACUCCACCACUUCGUCCUGGCUUCAGCAGAAUAAUUAUGUUGAAGAAACAAAGCAAGGUCUCAACCACUUUGGGGGACAGAAAAGCUACUAUACUGGCCUUGCAUAGAAAGCGCACCUGCUGCAAUCUUUCCUCUUAGGAGGGACUUCGUCGGUGGAAAUGCA